RNAcentral lists this ribosomal RNA (494 nucleotides) under Thalassiosira minuscula. RNAcentral describes it as "partial Bacterial small subunit ribosomal RNA". It matches the Rfam family "Bacterial small subunit ribosomal RNA", at positions 268 to 773 of the family's 1533-position model. Lineage: Eukaryota; Bacillariophyta; Thalassiosirophyceae; Thalassiosirales; Thalassiosiraceae. The record is from RNAcentral.
CCAAGGCGGCGACGGGUAGCCGGCCUGAGAGGGUGACCGGCCACAUUGGGACUGAGAUACGGCCCAGACUCCUACGGGAGGCAGCAGUGGGGAAUAUUGCACAAUGGGCGGAAGCCUGAUGCAGCAACGCCGCGUGCGGGAUGACGGCCUUCGGGUUGUAAACCGCUUUCAGCAGGGACGAAGCUUUUUGUGACGGUACCUGGAGAAGAAGCACCGGCUAACUACGUGCCAGCAGCCGCGGUGAUACGUAGGGUGCGAGCGUUGUCCGGAUUUAUUGGGCGUAAAGGGCUCGUAGGCGGUUGAUCGCGUCGGAAGUGGAAACUUGAUGCUUAACGUUGAGCGUGCUUUCGAUACGGGUUGACUUGAGGAAGGUAGGGGAGAAUGGAAUUCCUGGUGGAGCGGUGGAAUGCGCAGAUAUCAGGAGGAACACCAGUGGCGAAGGCGGUUCUCUGGACCUUUCCUGACGCUGAGGAGCGAAAGCGUGGGGAGCGAAC